GAUGAACGCUGGCGGCGUGCCUAAUACAUGCAAGUCGAGCGAACAGACGAGGAGCUUGCUCCUCUGACGUUAGCGGCGGACGGGUGAGUAACACGUGGAUAACCUACCUAUAAGACUGGGAUAACUUCGGGAAACCGGAGCUAAUACCGGAUAAUAUAUUGAACCGCAUGGUUCAAUAGUGAAAGACGGUUUUGCUGUCACUUAUAGAUGGAUCCGCGCCGCAUUAGCUAGUUGGUAAGGUAACGGCUUACCAAGGCAACGAUGCGUAGCCGACCUGAGAGGGUGAUCGGCCACACUGGAACUGAGACACGGUCCAGACUCCUGCGGGAGGCAGCAGUAGGGAAUCUUCCGCAAUGGGCGAAAGCUUGACGGAGCAACGCCACGUGAGUGAUGAAGGUCUUCGGAUCGUAAAACUCUGUUAUUAGGGAAGAACAGAUGUGUAAGUAACUAUGCACGUCUUGACGGUACCUAAUCAGAAAGCCACGGCUAACUACGUG
RNAcentral lists this ribosomal RNA (497 nucleotides) under uncultured bacterium. Its description in RNAcentral is "partial 16S ribosomal RNA". It matches the Rfam family "Bacterial small subunit ribosomal RNA", at positions 28 to 507 of the family's 1533-position model. The record is from RNAcentral.